RNAcentral lists this ribosomal RNA (406 nucleotides) under uncultured bacterium. Its description in RNAcentral is "partial 16S ribosomal RNA". It matches the Rfam family "Bacterial small subunit ribosomal RNA", at positions 29 to 526 of the family's 1533-position model. The record is from RNAcentral.
AUUGAACGCUGGCGGCAGGCCUAACACAUGCAAGUCGAGCGAGCGGAGGACGGGUGAGUGAUGGAUGGGGAUCUGGCUGAUGGAGGGGGAUGACUACUGGAAACGGUAGAUAAUAGCGCAUACCAUCAGAUGAAGCCAUAUGGGAGUAGAGUGUAGGUGAGGUAACGGCUCACCUAGGCGACGAUCCCGAGCUGGUCUGAGAGGAAGAUCCGCCACACGGGGACUGAGACACGGCCCAGACUCCUACGGGAGGCAGCAGUGGUGAAUAUUGCACAAUGGGCGCAAGCCUGAUGCAGCCAUGCCGCGUGUAUGAAGAAGGCCUUCGGGUUGUAAAGUACUUUCAGUCGGGAGGCGUUACCGACAGAAGAAGCACCGGCUAACUCCGUGCCAGCAGCCGCGGUAAUUC